GCGUCUUUAGCUCAGUUGAGUAGAGCAUCUGGCUCUUAACCAGCGGGUCACAGGUUCGAGCUCUGUACGAACGUACCA
Molecule: transfer RNA, 78 nt
Filed under: Mycoplasmopsis bovis
Lineage: Bacteria; Bacillati; Mycoplasmatota; Mycoplasmoidales; Metamycoplasmataceae
Description: Mycoplasma bovis tRNA-Lys
Rfam family: tRNA
About the family: Transfer RNA (tRNA) molecules are approximately 80 nucleotides in length. Their secondary structure includes four short double-helical elements and three loops (D, anti-codon, and T loops).
Source: RNAcentral